RNAcentral lists this transfer RNA (74 nucleotides) under Rhipicephalus sanguineus (brown dog tick). RNAcentral describes it as "transfer RNA serine (anticodon CGA)". It matches the Rfam family "tRNA". Rfam says of the family: Transfer RNA (tRNA) molecules are approximately 80 nucleotides in length. Their secondary structure includes four short double-helical elements and three loops (D, anti-codon, and T loops). The record is from Rfam by way of RNAcentral. Lineage: Eukaryota; Metazoa; Arthropoda; Arachnida; Ixodida; Ixodidae.
GCCGCCGUAGCCCAACUGGUAAGAGCAUCGGGCGCGAGAUCCGAAGGUUGCAGGUUCGGUCCCUGCCGGCGGCA